This is a small nucleolar RNA of Lycium barbarum (goji berry), 84 nucleotides long. RefSeq annotates it as small nucleolar RNA snoR114. The record is from RefSeq and is a predicted model, not a curated record. The transcript has a single exon. NCBI's taxonomy places the organism in Eukaryota, Viridiplantae, Streptophyta, Magnoliopsida, Solanales, Solanaceae.
GUGCUGUGAUGAUUAUUGCGCAGUAGGUGAGAUUAGGGUCUCUACCGAGUCUGAUAUCAGACGAUAACAUGUGCAUCUGAGCCU